UCCUGGUUCAAAGGUCCGCCGCCUGAGGAUGGGUCUGCGGCCGAUUAGGUAGUUGUUGGGGUAACGGCCCAACAAGCCUGUCAUCGGUACGGGUUGUGGGAGCAAGAGCCCGGAGAUGGAUUCUGAGACACGAAUCCAGGCCCUACGGGGCGCAGCAGGCGCGAAAACUUUACCAUGCGGGCAACCGUGAUAAGGAAACCCCGAGUGCCAGCACAGGCUGGCUGUCCACCAGUGUAAAUAACUGGUGAAGAAAGGGCCGGGCAAGACCGGUGCCAGCCGCCGCGGUAAUACCGGCGGCUCGAGUGGUGGCCGCUAUUACUGGGCUUAAAGGGUCCGUAGCUGGAUAUGCAAGUCCCUUGAGAAAUCCGCCGGCUUAACUGGCGGGCGUUCAGGGGAAACUGCAUUUCUAGGGACCGGGAGAGGUGAGAGGUACUGCCGGGGUAGGAGUGAAAUCCUGUAAUCCCGGUGGGACCACCUAUGGCGAAGGCAUCUCACCAGAACGGGUCCGACAGUGAGGGACGAAAGCUGGGGGAGCAAACCGGAUUAGAUACCCGGGUAGUCCCAGCUGUAAACGAUGCGCGUUAGGUGUGUCAGUGACCACGUGUCACUGAGAUGCCGAAGGGAAACCGUGAAACGCGCCGCCUGGGGAGUACGGUCGCAAGGCUGAAACUUAAAGGAAUUGGCGGGGGAGCACCACAACAGGUGGAGCCUGCGGUUUAAUCGGACUCAACGCCGGGAAUCUCACCGGAUAAGACAGCUGAAUGAUAGUCGGGAUGAAGACUCUACUUGACUAGCUGAGAGGAGGUGCAUGGCC
This 814-nucleotide ribosomal RNA is filed under the name uncultured archaeon. RNAcentral's name for it is "bacterial SSU rRNA". It matches the Rfam family "Archaeal small subunit ribosomal RNA", at positions 181 to 999 of the family's 1478-position model. The record is from RNAcentral.